GCGUUGGUGGUUUAGUGGUAAAAUUCAUCGUUGCCAUUCCCGGCCGUGCCUCCUGAGUCACAGCCUCCUGGAAAAACUUCGAUGAGCCCCGGGUUCGAUUCCCGGCCGACGCA
This is a non-coding RNA of Phyllosticta paracitricarpa, 113 nucleotides long. NCBI's taxonomy places the organism in Eukaryota, Fungi, Ascomycota, Dothideomycetes, Botryosphaeriales, Phyllostictaceae. The record is from the annotation of a GenBank genome assembly.